Molecule: unclassified non-coding RNA, 309 nt
Filed under: plant metagenome
Description: partial contains 5.8S ribosomal RNA, internal transcribed spacer 2, and large subunit ribosomal RNA
Rfam family: 5.8S ribosomal RNA (bases 1-104)
Source: RNAcentral
AAAUGCGAUAAGUAGUGUGAAUUACAGAAUUCAGUGAAUCAUCGAAUCUUUGAACGCACAUUGCGCCCCUUGGUAUUCCAUGGGGCAUGCCUGUUCGAGCGUCAUUUGUACCCUCAAGCUCUGCUUGGUGUUGGGUGUUUGUCCCCGUCUCCGCGCGUGGACUCGCCCCAAAGUGAUUGGCAGCCGGCGUACUGGUCCCGGAGCGCAGCACAUGUCGCGCAAACGAGUGCCUUGGUACGGCGGCGUCCAUAAGCCCCUCUCUCACGCUCUUGACCUCGGAUCAGGUAGGGAUACCCGCUGAACUUAAGC